GUCUCCCCCGGGAAGGCUCGAACUUCCGAUCUCCCGAUUGUCUAUUUAAUAACAGUCGGACGCUUUAGCCAACUAAGCCACAGGGGAA
This 88-nucleotide transfer RNA is filed under the name Fusarium acuminatum CS5907. Lineage: Eukaryota; Fungi; Ascomycota; Sordariomycetes; Hypocreales; Nectriaceae. The record is from RNAcentral.